This 336-nucleotide ribosomal RNA is filed under the name Triticum aestivum (bread wheat). Its description in RNAcentral is "partial small subunit ribosomal RNA". The record is from RNAcentral. Lineage: Eukaryota; Viridiplantae; Streptophyta; Magnoliopsida; Poales; Poaceae.
AUGCAUGGGACUUUUACAACAGUUAUGCAAGAUAUGCAGGGUUUGGCAUACACAAGAGGGCAAAACACAAGACAAAUGCGUACAUUGUCCGCUAAAGAGAAGGGAUGCACAAGCAGACUGUGUCAGAUUAUUACCGGAAAUGUCACAAGACAUCAAAAAAGGAUUGGAUGCAAGGCAAGAAUUAGAGUAAAAAAAAGGAAGAAUGGCAGAUUUGUGAAAGAAAUGGUCGAGCUCAACCACAAUCACAAGAUGCUAGAAAGACCCGGGAUGCUUUUGCACAUGCACUCGCACAAAAGAAAUGAUCCUUUGAUUGACCAGUUGGUGAAGGAUAUGUAG